This 255-nucleotide ribosomal RNA is filed under the name uncultured bacterium. RNAcentral describes it as "partial 16S ribosomal RNA". It matches the Rfam family "Bacterial small subunit ribosomal RNA", at positions 524 to 776 of the family's 1533-position model. The record is from RNAcentral.
UACAGAGGUCUCAAGCGUUGUUCGGAUUCAUUGGGCGUAAAGGGUGCGUAGGUGGCGCGCUAAGUCGGGUGUGAAAUUUCGGAGCUUAACUCCGAAACUGCAUUCGAUACUGGCGUGCUUGAGUACGGGAGAGGAGAGUGGAAUUCCCAGUGUAGAGGUGAAAUUCGUAGAUAUUGGGAAGAACACCGGUGGCGAAGGCGGCCUGCUGGGCAGUUUUGCUGACACUGAGGCGCGACAGCGUGGGGAGCAAACAGG